CGCCUCUUGACUCUUAUAAGAGGUCCAGCCUGCCCAGUGACCAUGUUCAACGGCCGCGGUAUCCUAACCGUGCGAAGGUAGCGUAAUCACUUGUUCUUUAAAUGCGGACUAGUAUGAAUGGCACCACGAAGGUUAUACUGUCUCCUUUUUCUAAUCAGUGAAACUAAUCUCCCCGUGAAGAAGCGAGGAUAUACCUAUAAGACGAGAAGACCCUAUGGAGCUUUAAACAACACAGCAAUUACCUGCUAAACUAAGAAGUUUCUGAACAUUUUCAAUCUUUUAAGUAAUCUGACUGCAAGUUUUUGGUUGGGGUGACCACGGAGCAUAACACAACCUCCAUGUUGAAAGAAUUCUUUCUAAGCCAAGAACAACCUUUCUAAGCAUCAAUAUAUUGACAUCCAUUGACCCAAUACAUUUGACCAACGAACCAAGUUACCCUAGGGAUAACAGCGCAAUCCACUUCAAGAGCUCCUAUCGACAAGUGGGUUUACGACCUCGAUGUUGGAUCAGGGUAUCCCAGUGGUGCAGCCGCUACUAAAGGUUCGUUUGUUCAACGAUUAAAACCCUA
RNAcentral lists this ribosomal RNA (568 nucleotides) under Rhinella marina (marine toad). RNAcentral's name for it is "partial 16S ribosomal RNA". It matches the Rfam family "Bacterial large subunit ribosomal RNA", at positions 1829 to 2598 of the family's 2925-position model. The record is from RNAcentral. Lineage: Eukaryota; Metazoa; Chordata; Amphibia; Anura; Bufonidae.